Molecule: long non-coding RNA, 348 nt
Organism: Mustela erminea (ermine)
Lineage: Eukaryota; Metazoa; Chordata; Mammalia; Carnivora; Mustelidae
Exons: 3
Source: RefSeq, a predicted model, not a curated record
AUGGAGAGGGAGACAGGGAGACAGAAAACAGCGAAAGACAACAGUUUCUAGACUCCCCUACUAGCUGACUACAUUAAAAAUAACUUUCAUCUGUCAACUGUGCUUUAAUUAACAACAACAAAAACUUACUUGAUGAGAAAUUGUCUUAGAAUAAGAAAAUUGGCAUUUCCAGGUAUACUAAGAAUGUUCACAGUUCCAGGAUCAGCCCUGGAAUUGUCCAAUCCAGUUACUGAUUUGCAUGUUUCUGAAAUCUUAAAGGAUUUUCCCCAAAACCUGGCUGAGAUUUUUUUCUCUAAGUCAUUCAAAUAUAUUUCCCUCUAAAAAUAUAAGCUUUAUACAUAAUACCAA